AUCCAGAUGACGAGUCCCAAAUAGAACGAAACGCGCGUCAAACUGGAU
Non-coding RNA from Schistosoma mansoni, 48 nucleotides. Lineage: Eukaryota; Metazoa; Platyhelminthes; Trematoda; Strigeidida; Schistosomatidae. The record is from Rfam.